Leopardus geoffroyi (Geoffroy's cat) is the source of this 489-nucleotide long non-coding RNA. RefSeq lists it as uncharacterized. NCBI's taxonomy places the organism in Eukaryota, Metazoa, Chordata, Mammalia, Carnivora, Felidae. The transcript has 2 exons. The record is from RefSeq and is a predicted model, not a curated record.
CCAUGUGAUGUCACAUAUCUACAGAUUCCUGGGGCCUUGUGGGGACUGUUCUGUCUCCUACAAUGGCCUUUCGAGGGGCGUUCAGAGCACUCUGUUGCUUGCAGCGGAGGAGGCGUGGACUCCAGGCGCCAGCACUGAUCACCUGCGCUCUGGGAGGCAGUGGUUUCGGUCCCUCGGAUGUGCCACUGAACCCCAGGAACCAAGAGCAGAGCCCAACACUGGGAAGAAUGAAGGAAGGAAGGAAAAGGAGCUUACGUGUCAGCAGACCUGCAGCUUCUCAGGUGCAGGUGAAUAAACGGCGUGUGGGUACGGACGGCCGCCAAGGGGACCAGCUGUGCCCUCCCCCGCCCCUGCCCCGGGCACUCGUGCUCACCCCCGAACCCAGCUGCUACUCCGUAUCGCCAUCACCCUGACUCAGUCCAGGAUAGCAGGCACUUACCAGUCACUGAACAGAUAAAACGAUAAUCUAUAAACAUGAUAUUCAAAGAG